This 560-nucleotide ribosomal RNA is filed under the name uncultured bacterium. RNAcentral's name for it is "partial 16S ribosomal RNA". It matches the Rfam family "Bacterial small subunit ribosomal RNA", at positions 340 to 916 of the family's 1533-position model. The record is from RNAcentral.
UACGGGAGGCAGCAGUGGGGAAUAUUGCACAAUGGGGGAAACCCUGAUGCAGCGACGCCGCGUGAAGGAUGAAGUAUUUCGGUAUGUAAANUUCUAUCAGCAGGGAAGAAAAUGACGGUACCUGACUAAGAAGCCCCGGCUAACUACGUGCCAGCAGCCGCGGUAAUACGUAGGGGGCAAGCGUUAUCCGGAUUUACUGGGUGUAAAGGGAGCGUAGACGGCANGGCAAGNCNGANGUGAAAGCCCGGGGCUCAACCCCGGGACUGCUUUNGAAACUGUNNNGCUAGAGUGUCGGAGAGGCAAGCGGAAUUCCUAGUGUAGCGGUGAAAUGCGUAGAUAUUAGGAGGAACACCAGUGGCGAAGGCGGCUUNCUGGACGAUGACUGACGUUGAGGCUCGAAAGCGUGGGGAGCAAACAGGAUUAGAUACCCUGGUAGUCCACGCCGUAAACGAUGACUACUAGGUGUCGGGGNGCAAAGCNCUUCGGUGCCGCAGCCAACGCAAUAAGUAUUCCACCUGGGGAGUACGUUCGCAAGAAUGAAACUCAAAGGAUAUUGACGG